GAUGAACGCUAGCGGGAGGCUUAAUACAUGCAAGUCGAACGGCAACAUGAUGAUAGCAAUAUUAUUGAUGGCGAGUGGCGCACGGGUGAGUAACACGUACAUAACCUGCCCUUUACUGAGGGAUAGCCUUGGGAAACUGGGAGUAACCCCUCAUAGUGUACAUUGGACGCAUGUCUGAUGUAAUAAAUUCUUCGGGAGUAAAGGAUGGAUGUGCGGCUGAUUAGUUAGUUGGAGAGGUAACGGCUCACCAAGACAAUGAUCAGUAGGGGUGUGAGAGCAUGAUCCCCCACACGGGUACUGAGACACGGACCCGACUCCUACGGGAGGCAGCAGUAAGGAAUAUUGGACAAUGGCGGAGACGCUGAUCCAGCUAUCCCGCGUGCAGGAUGAAGGGCCUCUGGCUUGUAAACUGCUUUAGACUGAGACGAAAAAAUGGGAUUUUUCCUAUAUUGACGGUAUCAGUAGAAUAAGCACCGGCU
RNAcentral lists this ribosomal RNA (479 nucleotides) under uncultured bacterium. Its description in RNAcentral is "bacterial SSU rRNA". It matches the Rfam family "Bacterial small subunit ribosomal RNA", at positions 28 to 498 of the family's 1533-position model. The record is from RNAcentral.